CCUACGGGGGGCAGCAGUGGGGAAUAUUGCGCAAUGGGCGAAAGCCUGACGCAGCGACGCCGCGUGAGGGAUGAAGGUCUUCGGAUCGUAAACCUCUGUCAGCAAGGAAGAACAGUCACUGUGCUAAUCAGCAGUGAAUUUACUGUACCUGCAAAGGAAGCACCGGCUAACUCCGUGCCAGCAGCCGCGGUAAUACGGAGGGUGCGAGCGUUAAUCGGAAUUAGUGGGCGUAAAGCGAUCGUAGGCGGUAUGUCAAGUCAAGGGUGAAAUCCCGGCGCUCAACGUGGGAACUGCAUUUGAAACUGGCAAACUGGAGUGUGGGAGAGGAUAGUGGAAUUCCAGGUGUAGGAGUGAAAUCCGUAGAUAUCUGGAGGAACAUCAGUGGCGAAGGCGACUAUCUGGCACAUAACUGACGCUGAGGAGCGAAAGCGUGGGUAGCAAACAGGAUUAGAUACCCCUGUAGUC
RNAcentral lists this ribosomal RNA (465 nucleotides) under uncultured bacterium. RNAcentral describes it as "partial 16S ribosomal RNA". It matches the Rfam family "Bacterial small subunit ribosomal RNA", at positions 338 to 795 of the family's 1533-position model. The record is from RNAcentral.